AUAGUCCUGUAUGUUAAACGAGAAGACUUCAGAUAUGAUCCAGAGUACCACGGGACACGUGAAACCCUGUGGGAAGCAGGAGGGACCACCCUCCAAGGCUAAAUACUACCUAGUGACCGAUAGCGUAUAGUACCGUGAGGGAAAGGUGAAAAGACCCCCGGGAGGGGAGUGAAAUAGAACCUGAAACCCUGCACUUACAAGCUGUGGAAGCACAUUUCUUGUGUGACCGCGUACUUUUUGUAGAACGG
Molecule: ribosomal RNA, 248 nt
Filed under: Clostridioides difficile
Lineage: Bacteria; Bacillati; Bacillota; Clostridia; Peptostreptococcales; Peptostreptococcaceae
Description: partial 23S ribosomal RNA
Rfam family: Bacterial large subunit ribosomal RNA
Source: RNAcentral